Molecule: small nuclear RNA, 105 nt
Organism: Suncus etruscus (white-toothed pygmy shrew)
Lineage: Eukaryota; Metazoa; Chordata; Mammalia; Eulipotyphla; Soricidae
Source: RefSeq, a predicted model, not a curated record
GUGCUUGCUUCAGCAGCAUGUUUACAAAAACUUGAAAGGUUCAGAGAUUUAGCACAGUCCCUGUGUGAAGAUGACACACAAAUUCAUGAAGCAUCCCAUAUUAAA